UACGUAGGGUGCAAGCGUUAAUCGGAAUUACUGGGCGUAAAGCGUGCGCAGGCGGUUUUGUAAGUCUGUCGUGAAAUCCCCGGGCUCAACCUGGGAAUUGCGAUGGAGACUGCAAGGCUAGAAUCUGGCAGAGGGGGGUAGAAUUCCACGUGUAGCAGUGAAAUGCGUAGAGAUCGGGAGGAAGGCCGGUGGCGAAGGCGGCGCUCUGGAACAUUUCUGACGCUG
RNAcentral lists this ribosomal RNA (225 nucleotides) under uncultured prokaryote. RNAcentral describes it as "partial 16S ribosomal RNA". It matches the Rfam family "Bacterial small subunit ribosomal RNA", at positions 524 to 748 of the family's 1533-position model. The record is from RNAcentral.